GACGGGGAGCACCACAACGGGUGGAGCUUGCGGUUUAAUUGGAUUCAACGCCGAAAUCUUACCGGGACCGACAGCAAUAUGAAGGCCAGGCUGAAGACUUUGCCGGAUUAGCUGAGAGGUGGUGCAUGGCCGUCGUCAGUUCGUACUGUGAAGCAUCCUGUUAAGUCAGGCAACGAGCGAGACCCACGCCCACAGUUGCCAGCGUACUCUCUGGAGUGACGGGUACACUGUGGGGACCGCCGCUGCUAAAGCGGAGGAAGGAAUGGGCAACGGUAGGUCAGUAUGCCCCGAAUAUCCCGGGCUACACGCGAGCUACAAUGGUUGGUACAAUGGGUAUCUACCCCGAAAGGGGACGGGAAUCUCCUAAAACCAAUCUUAGUUCGGAUUGAGGGCUGCAACUCGCCCUCAUGAAGCUGGAAUCCGUAGUAAUCGCGUUUCAACAGAACGCGGUGAAUACGUCCCUGCUCCUU
Molecule: ribosomal RNA, 470 nt
Filed under: uncultured Methanosaeta sp.
Lineage: Archaea; Methanobacteriati; Methanobacteriota; Methanomicrobia; Methanotrichales; Methanotrichaceae
Description: bacterial SSU rRNA
Rfam family: Archaeal small subunit ribosomal RNA
Source: RNAcentral